AAAUUGAAGAGUUUGAUCAUGGCUCAGAUUGAACGCUGGCGGCAGGCCUAACACAUGCAAGUCGAACGGUAGCACAGAGAGCUUGCUCUCGGGUGACGAGUGGCGGACGGGUGAGUAAUGUCUGGGAAACUGCCUGAUGGAGGGGGAUAACUACUGGAAACGGUGGCUAAUACCGCAUAAUGUCGCAAGACCAAAGAGGGGGACCUUCGGGCCUCUUGCCAUCAGAUGUGCCCAGAUGGGAUUAGCUAGUUGGUGAGGUAA
Molecule: ribosomal RNA, 261 nt
Filed under: Salmonella enterica
Lineage: Bacteria; Pseudomonadati; Pseudomonadota; Gammaproteobacteria; Enterobacterales; Enterobacteriaceae
Also listed under: 1 other name
Description: partial 16S ribosomal RNA
Rfam family: Bacterial small subunit ribosomal RNA
Source: RNAcentral